This 496-nucleotide ribosomal RNA is filed under the name uncultured bacterium. Its description in RNAcentral is "partial 16S ribosomal RNA". It matches the Rfam family "Bacterial small subunit ribosomal RNA", at positions 29 to 507 of the family's 1533-position model. The record is from RNAcentral.
AUGAACGCUGGCGGCGUGCCUAAUACAUGCAAGUCGCGCGAACAGACGAGGAGCUUGCUCCUCUGACGUUAGCGGCGGACGGGUGAGUAACACGUGGAUAACCUACCUAUAAGACUGGGAUAACUUCGGGAAACCGGAGCUAAUACCGGAUAAUAUAUUGAACCGCAUGGUUCAAUAGUGAAAGACGGUUUUGCUGUCACUUAUAGAUGGAUCCGCGCCGCAUUAGCUAGUUGGUAAGGUAACGGCUUACCAAGGCAACGAUGCGUAGCCGACCUGAGAGGGUGAUCGGCCACACUGGAACUGAGACACGGUCCAGACUCCUACGGGAGGCAGCAGUAGGGAACCUUCCGCAAUGGGCGAAAGCCUGACGGAGCAACGCCGCGUGAGUGAUGAAGGUCUUCGGAUCGUAAAACUCUGUUAUUAGGGAAGAACAAAUGUGUAAGUAACUAUGCACGUCUUGACGGUACCUAAUCAGAAAGCCACGGCUAACUACGUG